UACGUAGGGUCCAAGCGUUAUCCGGAAUCACUGGGCGUAAAGCGUGCGUAGGCGGAUAUUUAAGUGAGACGUGAAAGCGUAGGGCUCAACCCUGUCGUUGUGUCUCAUACUGGGUAUCUGGAGGAAGGCAGAGGCAAGUGGAAUUACGAGUGUAGCAGUGAAAUGCGUAGAUAUUCGUAGGAACACCAAUGGCGAAGGCAGCUUGCUGGGCCUUUUCUGACGCUGAGGUACGAAAGCGUGGGGAGCGAACAGG
This 253-nucleotide ribosomal RNA is filed under the name uncultured bacterium. RNAcentral's name for it is "partial 16S ribosomal RNA". It matches the Rfam family "Bacterial small subunit ribosomal RNA", at positions 524 to 776 of the family's 1533-position model. The record is from RNAcentral.